RNAcentral lists this transfer-messenger RNA (239 nucleotides) under Chloroflexia bacterium. RNAcentral describes it as "partial transfer-messenger RNA". It matches the Rfam family "transfer-messenger RNA", at positions 1 to 240 of the family's 374-position model. Rfam says of the family: Bacterial tmRNA, also known as 10Sa RNA or SsrA, is named for its dual tRNA and mRNA-like properties. Its role is to liberate the mRNA from a stalled ribosome. To accomplish this part of the tmRNA is used as a reading frame that ends in a translation stop signal. Lineage: Bacteria; Bacillati; Chloroflexota; Chloroflexia. The record is from RNAcentral.
GGGGAUGUCCGGUUUCGACAGGGUCGGAGAUCAGGCCAUUGCACGUCGAGGCGCCCGAGGCCUCGUAAACAACGGGCAAAAAACUGCAACUGCGGAUAACUCCCAGCUUGCCUACGCUGCCUAAGUCUCAGACCUCUAGGUAGCGCGUUCACCCGGACCUCCCUCCAUCGGGACCGGAUGUGGGCGUCACCAAGAUGGAGUGCUGUGAUCUAGUUCGUCGGUGCGCGAUCACUCAAGAC